RNAcentral lists this long non-coding RNA (334 nucleotides) under Ananas comosus (pineapple). RNAcentral's name for it is "long non-coding RNA (ACOM_LNC003298)". Lineage: Eukaryota; Viridiplantae; Streptophyta; Magnoliopsida; Poales; Bromeliaceae. The record is from RNAcentral.
UAUAUGAUAGCUCAAAUUACCUUAUAGAGAAAAUAAUAUUAGAUAGAUUAACUAUUAAGUCUUCGUUUGGGAUUGCGGGGAGAUUCCGUUACGUGUGCAGUGAGAAAGUACGUUGGAAAAAUACCCUGUUUGUUUCCGUACGUAAUAUUGCGUUCCGUAUAUCGCGAUGAGUCGGUUACGAUAUAUUUUCUGCGGUCCCACCGGAGAACGCAGAAGCAUAUCCCUAUAUGCUUUUUCCUCAACUAUAUUUCAUCUAAUAGCAUUAGAUAGACCUCAAUACCAAACUAAGCCUAAAGCUAACUGAGUUAUAAAAUUUACUAAAAGAUUUUAAAUU